AAAGAAACCAACAGGGAUUGCCUCAGUAACGGCGAGUGAAGCGGCAAGAGCUCAAAUUUGAAAUCUGGCCCCUUCGGGGUCCGAGUUGUAAUUUGUAGAGGAUGCUUCGGGUGCGGCCCCCGUCUAAGUGCUCUGGAACGGGCCAUCGGAGAGGGUGAGAAUCCCGUCUGGGACGGGGUGUCCGCGUCCAUGUGAAGCUCCUUCGACGAGUCGAGUUGUUUGGGAAUGCAGCUCUAAAUGGGUGGUAAAUUUCAUCUAAAGCUAAAUACUGGCCGGAGACCGAUAGCGCACAAGUAGAGUGAUCGAAAGAUGAAAAGCACUUUGAAAAGAGAGUUAAACAGCACGUGAAAUUGUUGAAAGGGAAGCGCUUGCGACCAGACUCGCUUCCGGGGUUCAGCCGGCUUUCGGGCCGGUGUACUUCCCCGGGGGCGGGCCAGCGUCGGUUUGGGCGGCCGGUCAAAGGCCCCUGGAAUGUAACGCCCCUCGGGGCGCCUUAUAGCCAGGGGUGUCAUGCGGCCAGCCUGGACCGAGGAACGCGCUUCGGCACGGACGCUGGCAUAAUGGUCGUAAACGAC
RNAcentral lists this ribosomal RNA (575 nucleotides) under Aspergillus pseudoglaucus. RNAcentral describes it as "eukaryotic LSU rRNA". It matches the Rfam family "Eukaryotic large subunit ribosomal RNA", at positions 58 to 648 of the family's 3401-position model. The record is from RNAcentral. Lineage: Eukaryota; Fungi; Ascomycota; Eurotiomycetes; Eurotiales; Aspergillaceae.